CGGGGCGUAGCACAGUCUGGUCAGCGCGCCUGCUUUGGGAGCAGGAGGUCGGAGGUUCAAAUCCUCUCGCCCCGACCA
Molecule: transfer RNA, 78 nt
Filed under: Pseudomonadota bacterium
Lineage: Bacteria; Pseudomonadati; Pseudomonadota
Description: Proteobacteria bacterium (groundwater metagenome) tRNA-Pro
Rfam family: tRNA
About the family: Transfer RNA (tRNA) molecules are approximately 80 nucleotides in length. Their secondary structure includes four short double-helical elements and three loops (D, anti-codon, and T loops). Further hydrogen bonds mediate the characteristic L-shaped molecular structure. tRNAs have two regions of fundamental functional importance: the anti-codon, which is responsible for specific mRNA codon recognition, and the 3' end, to which the tRNAs corresponding amino acid is attached (by aminoacyl-tRNA synthetases). tRNAs cope with the degeneracy of the genetic code in two manners: having more than one tRNA (with a specific anti-codon) for a particular amino acid; and 'wobble' base-pairing, i.e. permitting non-standard base-pairing at the 3rd anti-codon position.
Source: RNAcentral